GGCCCGGGAGAGACCGGGAACACGGACAAUGGCGCCGAAGGGGCUUGCAAAAACUCUCAGGCAAAAGGACCGGGCCGG
Molecule: non-coding RNA, 78 nt
Filed under: chicken gut metagenome
Description: Glycine riboswitch
Rfam family: Glycine riboswitch aptamer
About the family: This family represents the bacterial glycine riboswitch. Glycine riboswitches usually consist of two metabolite-binding aptamers domains with similar structures in tandem.
Source: RNAcentral